RNAcentral lists this ribosomal RNA (439 nucleotides) under uncultured bacterium. RNAcentral's name for it is "bacterial SSU rRNA". It matches the Rfam family "Bacterial small subunit ribosomal RNA", at positions 36 to 524 of the family's 1533-position model. The record is from RNAcentral.
CCUGGCGGCAGCCUAAUCAUGCGAGUCGAACGGCUCUUCGGAGCAGUGGCGGACGGGUGAGUAACGCGUGGGAACGUGCCCUUUGGUUCGGAACAACACAGGGAAACUUGUGCUAAUACCGAAUGUGCCCUUCGGGGGAAAGAUUUAUCGCCAUUGGAGCGGCCCGCGUUGGAUUAGCUAGUUGGUGGGGUAAUGGCCCACCAAGGCUACGAUCCAUAGCUGGUCUGAGAGGAUGAUCAGCCACACUGGGACUGAGACACGGCCCAGACUCCUACGGGAGGCAGCAGUAGGGAAUCUUGCGCAAUGGGCGAAAGCCUGACGCAGCCAUGCCGCGUGAAUGAUGAAGGUCUUAGGAUUGUAAAAUUCUUUCACCGGGGAAGAUAAUGACGGUACCCGGAGAAGAAGCCCCGGCUAACUUCGUGCCAGCAGCCGCGGUAAU